AGCUCCAAUAGCGUAUAAUAAAGUUUUUGCAGUUAAAAAGCUUGUAGUUGGAUUUCUGGCAGGAGCGAUCCAGCACACACUCUGUGUGUGAACUUGUGUCGUCUCUGGCCAUGCUUGGGGAGAUCCUGUUUGGCAUUAAGUUGUUAGGCAGAGGAUAUCCAUUGUUUACUGUGAAACAUUAGAGUGUUUAAAGCAGGCUUAUGCCGUUGAAUAUAUUAGCAUGGAAAAAUAAGAUAGGACUUCGGAACUAUGUUGUUGGUUUGUGUUACAAGGUAAUGAUUAAUAGAGACAGUUGGGGGUGUUCAAAUGUUGUUGUCAGAGAUGAAAGUCUUGGAUUUCCGAAAGACGAACUACUGCGAAAGCAUUUACCAAGGAUGUUUUCA
RNAcentral lists this ribosomal RNA (383 nucleotides) under uncultured eukaryote. Its description in RNAcentral is "SSU rRNA". It matches the Rfam family "Eukaryotic small subunit ribosomal RNA", at positions 587 to 972 of the family's 1831-position model. The record is from RNAcentral.